GUCGGUAUACGAGUCAUUUCACGAACGACCACAAACAGCGUUCAACACAUUCCAUUUACAUUUAAGUGCGUAAUAUAAGUUAAUCAUGGAUUCCAUCAAAAGAAUGCAAAAAACCAUCAAACAUUGGUUUAUAAGAUACCUUGUUUCCACUGAGCUGUACAUGGUCGAACCCUGGGAAAAGGUAGUAAUACAUGUUCUACUUGCCAUGGUCUUCAUAUUGUUUUGGUAUUUCAAUUAUGCAAUCAUCGUUAAUGGAGUUUCUCAGCUGAGGGGCACACCGCAGAUAGAAGAGUUAGGGACUACAGUACAAUAAUUUAAGGUUUUAUAAAUAUGUCUAACAUAUAUUGUUAAAUAAAAAUUUAUUGUUAAUUAAUAAAUAAUAUUAAAUUUAA
Vanessa tameamea is the source of this 392-nucleotide long non-coding RNA. RefSeq lists it as uncharacterized. Lineage: Eukaryota; Metazoa; Arthropoda; Insecta; Lepidoptera; Nymphalidae. The record is from RefSeq and is a predicted model, not a curated record. The transcript has 2 exons.